Molecule: transfer RNA, 67 nt
Filed under: unidentified
Description: Adiscus speciosus tRNA-Met
Source: RNAcentral
AAAAAGAUAAGCUAAUUUAAGCUUCUGGGUUCAUACCCCAGCCAUGGGUCUUAUAACCCUCUUUUUA